RNAcentral lists this ribosomal RNA (425 nucleotides) under uncultured bacterium. Its description in RNAcentral is "bacterial SSU rRNA". It matches the Rfam family "Bacterial small subunit ribosomal RNA", at positions 359 to 776 of the family's 1533-position model. The record is from RNAcentral.
GAAUAUUGCACAAUGGGGGAAACCCUGAUGCAGCCAUGCCGCGUGUGUGAAGAAGGCCUUCGGGUUGUAAAGCACUUUCAGUGGUGAGGAAGGUUGGUAGUUUAAUACGCUACCAAAUUGACAUUAGCCACAGAAGAAGCACCGGCUAACUCCGUGCCAGCCGCCGCGGUAAUCCGGCGGGUGCGAGCGUUAAUCGGAAUUACUGGGCGUAAAGCGCGCGUAGGCGGCGUGAUAAGCCGGUUGUGAAAGCCCCGGGCUCAACCUGGGAACGGCAUCCGGAACUGUCAGGCUAGAGUGCAGGAGAGGAAGGUAGAAUUCCCGGUGUAGCGGUGAAAUGCGUAGAGAUCGGGAGGAAUACCAGUGGCGAAGGCGGCCUUCUGGACUGACACUGACGCUGAGGUGCGAAAGCGUGGGUAGCAAACAGG